CGCAGCCGCGGUAAUUCCAGCUCCAAUAGCGUAUAUUAAAGUUGUUGCAGUUAAAAAGCUCGUAGUUGAAUUUUGGAUUCUGCCAAUUGGUCCAUCUUUUAGAUGAGUACUGGUUGUGUGGGGUCUAUCCGCCUGGUGAUACGUAAUGUCCUUUAUUGGAUGUUGCGGGUAGUCAGGACCUUUACCUUGAAAAAAUUAGAGUGUUUAAAGCAGGCUUAUGCCGGAAUACAUUAGCAUGGAAUAAUAGAAUAGGACGAAGUUGUUUUAUUUUGUUGGUUUCUAGGACAACCGUAAUGAUUAAUAGGGAUAGUUGGGGGCAUUAGUAUUCAAUUGUCAGAGGUGAAAUUCUUGGAUUUAUUGAAGACUAACUACUGCGAAAGCAUUUGCCAAGGAUGUUUUCAUUAAUCAAGAACGAAAGUUAGGGGAUCGAAGACGAUCAGAUACCGUCGUAGUCUUAACCAUAAACUAUGCCGACUAGGGAUCGGGCGAUGUUGUUUCCAUGACUCGCUCGGCACCUUAU
This 520-nucleotide ribosomal RNA is filed under the name uncultured Archaeospora. RNAcentral's name for it is "SSU rRNA". It matches the Rfam family "Eukaryotic small subunit ribosomal RNA", at positions 569 to 1091 of the family's 1831-position model. Lineage: Eukaryota; Fungi; Glomeromycota; Glomeromycetes; Archaeosporales; Archaeosporaceae. The record is from RNAcentral.